GACAACUAGCGUUACUACUGCAGCCCUUUUCAUUUUCCUUGUUGCACUAUUUGACCAUGCCACGUUCCAGCAAACGUUCUACAGCGGCCAAGAAGAACUGGUCUCGUUCAGAUCAUGAAUGCAAAAUUCAAUUUAACAUCAACUACGAAGAUGCACAUCAGAGUAGAAGGGUAUAUUCCAGGUUUCAGAAGUGAAACAAGGAACGUUUAAGGCAUACUUCACUGCUGUACUUCAGGAAGCCACCAAAACACAAAAAUGGUCAUCUUCAGGACUUCACCCCACAGAAACACAAUUGGUUUGUGUGUGAUGAAAAAAAUAGGAACCCAGUCAAAGUUGCAGACAUAAUGCUGACCCCAUCUCGCCAAAAUCAAGGACAGAAUGCUAUUUUCAUCAAUGAACGAUCCCAAUUGACAUGUGUGCAAAACUUGGCCUUUUGUUACGAUGAGUUUCUUCCAAACAACCAGCAGACCAGAUCAAUAACGACAUCAUUUCUGAUCCAAGAACACAUCGAAUAGAAAGUCACUUAAAAUGAUUUACCAUGUAAAAAAAUCAGAAGUGCUAUCCUAAUAUUAUACAUAUAAAUAAUGCAUCUGUUUCAAUGUCCUGUAAUAGGAAAUCAUGCCAAGGAACUUGCCAUUUGACUUUUUGUAAUACUAUAAUUUGUAACAGAUUUCACAUGAAACCUUGCAGUAAUCUGAAUGCAUAAAGGGGUUUUACAGUGUGUUGAUUUACUAAAAUGUUGUUUAAAUGUUUCCUGUGUGUGCAGGUAAAUGUACUGGUAAAAGUCUUGGAGCAGAGAGAAAAAGAGAAAAUCAUGACUAGGACCCACAAAGUGAUGGACAAACAGUGUAUGCUGUGUCUGACAUGACUGCCUCCAUCAUGGUCACGUGUGGGGAAAUGAUGUGUUGGUGAUAGACAAAUGGUACACUUUUAGAGAUGUGUCUGUCCGUUUUUUCUAUAGCAAAGUCCUGCUGACAACCACACCACAAAGCACUUUCAACAUUGCUGAAGAUUCAGGAGCAGCAAAACAUUGGUUAACCUGCUCAAUAUGAUUUUUCAUUGGGUGACAUGCCUCAAAAAACACAAAAUACAAAUUAGGUAACAAAUGAUACUAUAGUUGAAAUGUGUUUAUACUAUUUCUUAAAUUGUACCCAAUGUUUUCAAUUACAAACCUUUGUUUCAUGUUAAAAUGUAGCUGUAAUCCUUAAUCAUGUUGUGUAAUAUUGUUUUUCACUCAGUGAGAUCAUUGAAUGAUUACUAAAGAAUAAUUUGUUGAGUUUUUGUUUGUGCCUUGUUAUCACAAUUACAAAUCUCCUUGUU
Molecule: long non-coding RNA, 1320 nt
Organism: Hypomesus transpacificus
Lineage: Eukaryota; Metazoa; Chordata; Actinopteri; Osmeriformes; Osmeridae
Exons: 4
Source: RefSeq, a predicted model, not a curated record